This 338-nucleotide long non-coding RNA is filed under the name Androctonus crassicauda. The record is from RNAcentral. Lineage: Eukaryota; Metazoa; Arthropoda; Arachnida; Scorpiones; Buthidae.
GGGCCCUCUAUCGUGGAUGGGAUAGGAGCGGAGGUCGCUGGCCGCACUCGCGGUCGACUGGAGAUUGCAGCAAGUGGUCCGACCCAUGUACAGGCGCCGAUGCCGCGGGACGCAUCGAAGUGUGAAGUUGUACCAGCCGCGUUGGGAGGUUCCAGAGUGGUGGGAGCCCUCCUGGGGGGACGGAGCGGGAAACCUGCGUAUGAGGGACCCUCUACGAUUUUUGACAUGUUAAGAAGUAGUGGGGACCCAAGGAAGACAGAACAUAAAGGUGGUGUCUGCCAGAUCCCUCUGGUCAGCCUUGAUGCGGAUGAGCGGGAGGUCUGCAUGGGGGCGGCCGC